This 908-nucleotide ribosomal RNA is filed under the name uncultured bacterium. Its description in RNAcentral is "bacterial SSU rRNA". It matches the Rfam family "Bacterial small subunit ribosomal RNA", at positions 33 to 930 of the family's 1533-position model. The record is from RNAcentral.
ACGCUGGCGGCAUGCUUUACACAUGCAAGUCGGACGGCAGCACAGAGAAGCUUGCUUCUUGGGUGGCGAGUGGCGAACGGGUGAGUAACAUAUCGGGACGUACCGAGUAAUGGGGGAUAACUAAUCGAAAGACUAGCUAAUACCGCAUAUUCUCUGAGGAGGAAAGCAGGGGACCUUCGGGCCUUGCGUUAUUCGAGCGGCCGAUAUCUGAUUAGCUAGUUGGUGGGGUAAAGGCCUACCAAGGCGACGAUCAGUAGCGGGUCUGAGAGGAUGAUCCGCCACACUGGGACUGAGACACGGCCCAGACUCCUACGGGAGGCAGCAGUGGGGAAUUUUGGACAAUGGGCGCAAGCCUGAUCCAGCCAUGCCGCGUGUCUGAAGAAGGCCUUCGGGUUGUAAAGGACUUUUGUCAGGGAAGAAAAGGCUGUUGCUAAUACCGACAGUUGAUGACGGUACCUGAAGAAUAAGCACCGGCUAACUACGUGCCAGCAGCCGCGGUAAUACGUAGGGUGCGAGCGUUAAUCGGAAAUACUGGGCGUAAAGCGAGCGCAGACGGUUACUUAAGCAGGAUGUGAAAUCCCCGGGCUCAACCUGGGAACUGCGUUCUGAACUGGGUGACUAGAGUGUGUCAGAGGGAGGUAGAAUUCCACGUGUAGCAGUGAAAUGCGUAGAGAUGUGGAGGAAUACCGAUGGCGAAGGCAGCCUCCUGGGAUAACACUGACGUUCAUGCUCGAAAGCGUGGGUAGCAAACAGGAUUAGAUACCCUGGUAGUCCACGCCCUAAACGAUGUCAAUUAGCUGUUGGGCAACUUGAUUGCUUAGUAGCGUAGCUAACGCGUGAAAUUGACCGCCUGGGGAGUACGGUCGCAAGAUUAAAACUCAAAGGAAUUGACGGGGACCCGCACAAGC